This 484-nucleotide ribosomal RNA is filed under the name uncultured bacterium. RNAcentral's name for it is "partial 16S ribosomal RNA". It matches the Rfam family "Bacterial small subunit ribosomal RNA", at positions 30 to 507 of the family's 1533-position model. The record is from RNAcentral.
AUUGAACGCUGGCGGCAGGCCUAACACAUGCAAGUCGAGCGGAUGAAGGGAGCUUGCUCCUGGAUUCAGCGGCGGACGGGUGAGUAAUGCCUAGGAAUCUGCCUGGUAGUGGGGUAUAACGUCCGGAAACGGGCGCUAAUACCGCAUACGUCCUGAGGGAGAAAGUGGGGGAUCUUCGGACCUCACGCUAUCAGAUGAGCCUAGGUCGGAAUAGCUAGUUUGUGGGGUAAGGGCCUACCAAGGCGACGAUCCGUAACUGGUCUGAGAGGAUGAUAAGUCACACUGGAGGUGGGACACCGUCAAGGCUACUACGAGAGGCACCAGACGGCAACGUUGGACAAUGGGCGAGAGCCUGAUCCAGCCAUGCCGAGUGUGAGAAGAAGGUCUUCCGAUUGGGAAGCCCUUUAUGUUGGGGGGAAGGGCAGUAAGUUAAUACCUAGCGGUUUUGACGUUACCAGCAAAAUAAGCACCGGCUAACUACGUG